AUGGCACAGUGGAUCUCGUCGACGCCGUGCGACGCGUCCGGCUGCGAGGCGACAGAGGAAGCACCGCUGCUGGACGUUGAGAAGGGCGUACCCGAAGAACACGCCACGGCGUCGCCUGCGGACGAUGGGGGCGUGGAAGCGACGAAGUGGCUGUCCUGCCGGCGCUUUUUCCAGGUGUUCUUGGCCGUUGUGUGGCUGUACAUGGUGAAUCAGAUGAGGAUAGCCUAUAACGCCUACGAUGACGACGAAACGAGACCGUUCAUGGUGUUUCUGCUGGUAGUGAUGGCCUUGAGUGUCGCCAACGUGUUUCUCUUGUUCAGCACACAGCCUUUGUACCCUCCGGCACAAUCUGCCUCCGUGCUUCACUGA
This 369-nucleotide ribosomal RNA is filed under the name Triticum aestivum (bread wheat). RNAcentral's name for it is "partial small subunit ribosomal RNA". The record is from RNAcentral. Lineage: Eukaryota; Viridiplantae; Streptophyta; Magnoliopsida; Poales; Poaceae.